Molecule: long non-coding RNA, 448 nt
Organism: Panicum virgatum (switchgrass)
Lineage: Eukaryota; Viridiplantae; Streptophyta; Magnoliopsida; Poales; Poaceae
Exons: 3
Source: RefSeq, a predicted model, not a curated record
GCACAUUUGUUCAGAGCUACUUACAACCUGGCAAACCCUAUCUGCUUAAACAAUGAGAUCUACAUUUCACUAAGGAGUACACUAGAAACCUUGUGACUUCAACGGAACGCCUAAAACAUUGCUGAUCAAGAUGGUUUUCAGUCCACUCUCAAGUUUACAACCCAGAGACUGGCACAAGACAAUCCAUGUACGUGUUUGCAGAAAAUGGGAAUUCCAUGGAAGCAAUGAAAAUGGUCCACUACAACACAUUGAUAUGGUUCUUGUCGACAACAAGGUAAACCAACCACUCAUCAUGUUAGAUGCAUGCUUUUUUACCCCUUUAGAGUUAUAGCAAAUGCAUACCUGCCUUGGUAAUGUGGAUUAUUUAUGCCAACACUGUUGGACCACAUAAUCUCAAGUGUUCCUGUUUUGUGUUAUCUACCUAUUUAAACUGUUGGCAACAAAACUU